UGGGGAAUUUUGGACAAUGGGCGCAAGCCUGAUCCAGCCAUGCCGCGUGCGGGAAGAAGGCCUUCGGGUUGUAAACCGCUUUUGUCAGGGAAGAAAUCUUCUGAGUUAAUACCUCGGGAGGAUGACGGUACCUGAAGAAUAAGCACCGGCUAACUACGUGCCAGCAGCCGCGGUAAUACGUAGGGUGCAAGCGUUAAUCGGAAUUACUGGGCGUAAAGCGUGCGCAGGCGGUUUUGUAAGACAGAGGUGAAAUCCCCGGGCUCAACCUGGGAACUGCCUUUGUGACUGCAAGGCUUGAGUGCGGCAGAGGGGGGAUGGAAUUCCGCGUGUAGCAGUGAAAUGCGUAGAUAUGCGGAGGAACACCGAUGGCGAAGGCAAUCCCCUGGGCCUGCACUGACGCUCAUGCACGAAAGCGUGGGGAGCAAACAGGAUUAGAUACCCUGGUAGUCCACGCCCUAAAACGAUGUCAACUGGUUGUUGGGAAGGUUCCUUCUCAGUAACGUAGCUAACGCGUGAAGUUGACCGCCUGGGGAGUACGGCCGCAAGGUUGAAACUUAAAUGAAUUGACGGGGUCAUAGC
Molecule: ribosomal RNA, 579 nt
Filed under: uncultured bacterium
Lineage: Bacteria
Description: partial 16S ribosomal RNA
Rfam family: Bacterial small subunit ribosomal RNA
Source: RNAcentral